RNAcentral lists this ribosomal RNA (627 nucleotides) under Curtobacterium sp. Ri2Pt_4116. Its description in RNAcentral is "bacterial SSU rRNA". It matches the Rfam family "Bacterial small subunit ribosomal RNA", at positions 387 to 1025 of the family's 1533-position model. The record is from RNAcentral. Lineage: Bacteria; Bacillati; Actinomycetota; Actinomycetes; Micrococcales; Microbacteriaceae.
UGCAGCAACGCCGCGUGAGGGAUGACGGCCCCCGGGUUGUAAACCUCUUUUAGUAGGGAAGAAGCGAAAGUGACGGUACCUGCAGAAAAAGCACCGGCUAACUACGUGCCAGCAGCCGCGGUAAUACGUAGGGUGCAAGCGUUGUCCGGAAUUAUUGGGCGUAAAGAGCUCGUAGGCGGUUUGUCGCGUCUGCUGUGAAAUCCCGAGGCUCAACCUCGGGCUUGCAGUGGGUACGGGCAGACUAGAGUGCGGUAGGGGAGAUUGGAAUUCCUGGUGUAGCGGUGGAAUGCGCAGAUAUCAGGAGGAACACCGAUGGCGAAGGCAGAUCUCUGGGCCGUAACUGACGCUGAGGAGCGAAAGCAUGGGGAGCGAACAGGAUUAGAUACCCUGGUAGUCCAUGCCGUAAACGUUGGGCGCUAGAUGUAGGGACCUUUCCACGGUUUCUGUGUCGUAGCUAACGCAUUAAGCGCCCCGCCUGGGGAGUACGGCCGCAAGGCUAAAACUCAAAGGAAUUGACGGGGGCCCGCACAAGCGGCGGAGCAUGCGGAUUAAUUCGAUGCAACGCGAAGAACCUUACCAAGGCUUGACAUACACCGGAACGGCCAGAGAUGGUCGCCCCCUUGUGGU